RNAcentral lists this ribosomal RNA (491 nucleotides) under uncultured bacterium. RNAcentral's name for it is "bacterial SSU rRNA". It matches the Rfam family "Bacterial small subunit ribosomal RNA", at positions 28 to 507 of the family's 1533-position model. The record is from RNAcentral.
GAUGAACGCUAGCUACAGGCUUAACACAUGCAAGUCGCGGGGCAGCAUUUCCUUAGCUUGCUAAGGAAGAUGGCGACCGGCGCACGGGUGAGUAACGCGUAUCCAACCUUCCCAUGUCCACGGGAUAGCCCGUCGAAAGGCGGAUUAAUACCGUAUGAGGUCACAUGCGGGCAUCUAAGUGUGACGAAAGGUUUUGCGGACAUGGAUGGGGAUGCGUCCGAUUAGCUGGUUGGCGGGGUAACGGCCCACCAAGGCGACGAUCGGUAGGGGUUCUGAGAGGAAGGUCCCCCCACAUUGGAACUGAGACACGGUCCAAACUCCUACGGGGAGGCAGCAGUGAGGAAUAUUGGUCAAUGGACGUAAGUCUGAACCAGCCAAGUAGCGUGCAGGAUGACGGCCCUAUGGGUUGUAAACUGCUUUUAUGCGGGGAUAAAGUGUGGGACGUGUCCCAUAUUGUAGGUACCGCAUGAAUAGGACCGGCUAAUUCCGUG